UAGGGAAUCUUCGGCAAUGGACGAAAGUCUGACCGAGCAACGCCGCGUGAGUGAAGAAGGUUUUCGGAUCGUAAAACUCUGUUGGUAGAGAAGAACGUUGGUGAGAGUGGAAAGCUCAUCAAGUGACGGUAACUACCCAGAAAGGGACGACUAACUACGUGCCAC
This 165-nucleotide ribosomal RNA is filed under the name uncultured bacterium. RNAcentral describes it as "partial 16S rRNA". It matches the Rfam family "Bacterial small subunit ribosomal RNA", at positions 355 to 511 of the family's 1533-position model. The record is from RNAcentral.